CAACCAGUAAAGUCACAGGUUUGCCCUGACUUUUGUAGUGACCAUGGGCUCUCAAGGUCCCAGUUUGAUAGAGCUUGGUCUGUCCUAUCCAUCCAGGCCCAACAGGGAAUCUACCUGGCACUGAAAUACCUGGGUAGAUGGACACCUAGGGAUUAAGUGAAGCAGGCUGAGGCUGAUUGCUUUUCUCCAUCGACUUCUCACCUGUGUGACCUGUGGUAAGCUACUUAACCUCUCUGAGUGCAGGUCUCCUCUUUUGUAUGUCAAGCAAAAAAUCUGUUGCUUUUACCCGGCUCAUGUCCCUGGCCCCUCCUGCUGGUGACAAAGCUUCU
Molecule: long non-coding RNA, 329 nt
Filed under: Chinchilla lanigera (long-tailed chinchilla)
Lineage: Eukaryota; Metazoa; Chordata; Mammalia; Rodentia; Chinchillidae
Description: lncRNA (ENSCLAG00000023846.1)
Source: RNAcentral